Molecule: unclassified non-coding RNA, 231 nt
Filed under: plant metagenome
Description: partial contains small subunit ribosomal RNA, internal transcribed spacer 1, and 5.8S ribosomal RNA
Source: RNAcentral
UCUCCGUUGGUGAACCAGCGGAGGGAUCAUUACAGAGUUGCAAAACUCCCAAACCAUUGUGAACGUUACCUAUCCCGUUGCUUCGGCGGGCGGCCCGGGCCCCGCGCCCGGCGCCCCCCGGCCCCCCGUUGGCGCCCGCCGGAGGUAAGUCAAACCCUUGAAUUGCAUGGCCUCACUGAGUCUUCUGUACUGAAUAAGUCAAAACUUUCGACAACGGAUCUCUUGGUUCUG